This is a long non-coding RNA of Cebus imitator (Panamanian white-faced capuchin), 2408 nucleotides long. RefSeq lists it as uncharacterized. The record is from RefSeq and is a predicted model, not a curated record. The transcript is spliced from 2 exons. Lineage: Eukaryota; Metazoa; Chordata; Mammalia; Primates; Cebidae.
GCGCCGCGUUGGAACGCCCAAAGAGGUUGUGCUGAUGAGGUGGUUGGAAGCGGUUGGUGGGUGGGUAUAUGGCGGCUAGGCCUGGAAGGCCACGAGGACUGCUAGCACCGUAGGGUCAGGCUUCCUCAUGCCACAGGUCGCCGAGGCUUGGGGGAGAGAUCGGGGUCCCAGGGGCGAACCCUUGGGCGCAUUGAUGGCGGCAGGCUAACCUAGCCAACAGGGUGCCGCUGCCGGGCGAGGCGAGGAGCAAGAAGAUUUCCAGGGCUGGGAGGUAGAGGGCCAGGACCCCGAGGAAAGGGCUUACUGCGAGGAGCAACCCAGGAUGGAUAAGGAGUUGAGGCCCCAGGGAUGCUGAGCCUGCACGAGUGGAAGGGUCCCUGGAGCCUUCUGCAGCUGUGCCUCUCCAGAGCUCUGCCUCAUUAGUGCCAUGUUCCUGGUUUGAAAACCAUGGUACUUCAGCCUCUUCUAGAUGGGAGUUAAACUUUGCCCUCUGAAGGAAAUGUUUGAUAAGCAGAGUGUUUGGUAAACAAGAUCCUUGUGGAGGUAAGAACAGGACUCUGAGUCCACCGGCCCGGCUGCUCUGCAGGUUUCCAUAUCACAUCUUCCGCACAUGUCCAUUCAAGCUGGAGUUGGGCGUGUCUAGUUUUGAAUAAAGGCCUAUCAGGCCCUCUUCAGAUGCACCUGCCAGUCAGAGCCUACUGUGGAGUCACCACUGGACUUCUUUAGAAAUGGCUCGAUCCAUUUUUGGUGGUGACUGCACCACCCACAGGCACCUAAAAUUGGAGGACUUUUGGUAGCUGAUUACCACCAAAUGUCCUCAGACAAUACAUGGGAGACUCCAAGCCAGUUGCUAUUUAAAAAAAAAAAAGGCGGCAGAGCAUUGGUGGAGCAGACCCUUCUUACUGCUGCAUAUGAGACGAUCCCAUGGAAUGCAGUCAGCCACAGGUUUAUCCACAUGUGCUCUGCAGUUAGAUUUCCGGCCUUCCUCUUCCUGAGGAGGUCCCUAGAGAGAGCCAGUCUGAGGCCUGACCAUUGUUCCUUCACUGGCAGCACUCAAGAGUAAUCCUCAAAGACCUCCCCCUCCAGCCCUAGCUGGGUUCCUAACUUUCCAGCUAUUUCAUAUCUUCUUUGUGAAUGUUCCCAGGCAGAGUGGCCAGACCGACUCACACUGACAGUUCUCAUCAGCCAGUCUCAUCUUCCUAAAGAAAUCCAGAAUCAGCCACAUGAAGCUGACGCUAGAGGCCCGUCAGCAUUGGAGGACACGGGAGAAGCAGCUCAGGUCUUCAGCAGAAGCAGGGCAGUUCUCCCAGUGGUUUUCCUUGACUGUGAGGAACUGGCCUGCCGCUUUGCUGGGGAGUGAGCUGCCAGCUCCUCUUUGAUGUGCUGUGUUUGUUGAGAACCAGGCAGGGGUGCUUCACCAUGGCAGCACUUGAAUUAGGCAAUGUUUCAUGGACUCUUCUCCGGGGGCCCCACAUGAAACAUCAUUAGCACAGACCUGCCACUCAGAUCAAGGUAGCCAGCAGAGCCAGCAGAGAAUAGCCUUCAGAAGAAGAACGGCAAGGCCAGACGGCAGCGCGUGAGGCUAGGGCAGAGCUGUGAUGAACUGUUGAAGGUGCCCUGAGCCUGCCGCCAAGGCCGCCUAGGAGCUGAGACAGAGAUGGAGUGGCUGGGAGGCGAGUUUGAUGUGCAUGUUUGGGUAGAGGGCCUUGGCUGAGUACCGCGUGAGCCCUUGUGCAGAGAGGGCCCGUGUCCAUGGGUCUGGGGUCCACCACAGGCCACUGAGAUGGGGCAGGGCUGGGAGGGUGCAGGAGGGGAGAUCCUGAGUAACAUUGUGAAAUUGGGUCCAACUUCGAGUGGAAGGUGAGAGAAAGGACCCUUCCGGAGGGCCCCCCCUCAAUCCUGUUGUGCCUGAUUCAGAGGGUUGGGUGGAGGCUCUCCCGAAGGGCUCUGGAGAACACCACACCCACAGCCAUGCCGGGAGUGGAGAGGGCAGUAGAUGCAAGAGGGGCCUGUCAUGUCACCUGCCGGGUCCCCUGGGGUGGCCGGGGAGUGGUAACCUCGCUGUGCCACUCCUCUGCCAGUCUCCCAUGGGUCCCCACUGCUGGGAUCUUCACUCACCCCCCAGCCUCAGCAGCAAGCACCUACAGGAUGCAGUGCCACCCCCCCAUCCCUGUUCCCCUUCCUGAGGCUCCUUCCACCCUCACUGCCGCCUCCUUGGGAAGGCCUCCCCUCCUUCCCCCACCUCACAGCGUGCAGGGCCUGGGGCUUCUGCUGGGGGGCUCAUCUGUUGCACACCCCUGCUAGGCCAGGAGCUCCAGGGCAAGGCCAUAGCUGCCUUGUGGUUUGUUCUGUUGCCCAGUUCGUUUCCACACAUGUGGCACCCAGCAGGUACCUAAUAAACUUGUGUA